Molecule: non-coding RNA, 266 nt
Organism: Pelobates cultripes (western spadefoot toad)
Lineage: Eukaryota; Metazoa; Chordata; Amphibia; Anura; Pelobatidae
Source: the annotation of a GenBank genome assembly
CCCCUGAAUGAUCUUGAUGCUUUUCACACAGUUCAGGACCUGUAUAGCAGCAUUCCAAGAACGACUCAAACUGUUCCAAAAGCAAAUAAAUAAAACGUUUAAUCUAUUCCUUGUUCGGUCCUUAAAGUUAUUAUAUUAAUAGGGUCCCACAACAACAAUACGAUCAUAAAGGAGGUCUUUGUCAAGCCAUCAAGAGGUGUGCUGGUCUGUUUCUUUCUAAAACUGAAGCUGUUAAAACUGUUGUGGACUUCUAAAUCUUCACAGGU